CAGCCGCCGCGGUAAUACCGGCGGCCCGAGUGGCGGUCACUAUUAUUGGGCUUAAAGCGUCCGUAGCCGGGUUGGGAAGUCCUCCGGGAAAUCUGGCCGCUUAACGGUCAGAAUUCCGGGAGAUACUCCCAGCCUAGGGAGCGGGAGAGGCCGAGGGGAUUCCCGGAGUAGGGGUGGAAUCCUAUAAUCCCGGGAGGACCACCUGUGGCGAAGGCGCUCGGCUGGAACGCGUCCGACGGUGAGGGACGAAGGCCAGGGGAGCAAACCGGAUUCGAUACCCGGGUAGUCCUGGCUGUAAACGAUGCGGACUUUGUGUCGGACAAGCUAUGAGCUUGUCCGGUGCCGGAGGGAAACCGUUAAGUCCGCCGCCUGGGGAGUACGGCCGCAAGGCUGAAACUUAAAGGAAUUGGCGGG
This 414-nucleotide ribosomal RNA is filed under the name uncultured microorganism. RNAcentral describes it as "bacterial SSU rRNA". It matches the Rfam family "Archaeal small subunit ribosomal RNA", at positions 459 to 872 of the family's 1478-position model. The record is from RNAcentral.